This 492-nucleotide ribosomal RNA is filed under the name uncultured bacterium. RNAcentral's name for it is "partial 16S ribosomal RNA". It matches the Rfam family "Bacterial small subunit ribosomal RNA", at positions 29 to 507 of the family's 1533-position model. The record is from RNAcentral.
AGUGAACGCUGGCGGUAGGCCUAACACAUGCAAGUCGAACGACCACACGGGGAGAGUUCGCCCUUACGGUUGGCGGCUGGCGGAUGGGUGAGACAUACAUCGGCUUCUUCUUUUACGUGGGGGAUAUCGUGGGGACACUUACGCUAAUACCUCACACGACCUACCGGUUAAAUCAGCAGAUCAUCAGACCUUUCGCGUCUCAUUUAGACGAUGUCGCAUUAGCUAGUUGGUUGGGUAAAGGCCCACCAAGGCGACGCUCCGUAGCUGAUCUGAGAGGAUGAUCAGCCACACUGGAACUGAGACACGGUCCAGACUCCUACGGGAGGCAGCAGUAGGGAAUCUUCGACAAUGGGCGAAAGCCUGAUCCAGCAAUACCGCGUGAGUGAAGAAGGCCUUCGGAUUGUAAAGCCCUUUUAUUGGGAAAGAAAAGCUGCAUGAGUAUCCCUGCAUGUCCUGACGGUACCUAAAGAAUAAGCACCGGCUAACUUCGUG